This is a small nuclear RNA of Hippopotamus amphibius kiboko, 159 nucleotides long. RefSeq annotates it as U1 spliceosomal RNA. NCBI's taxonomy places the organism in Eukaryota, Metazoa, Chordata, Mammalia, Artiodactyla, Hippopotamidae. The record is from RefSeq and is a predicted model, not a curated record. The transcript has a single exon.
AUACUUAUUUGACAGGGGAGAUAGCAUGAUCACAAAGUUGGUUUUCCCAAGGCAAGUCUUGUCCAUUGCACUGCGGAUGUGCUGACCUGCUGUGAUUUUCCCACAUGUGGGAAACUUGAUUGCAGAAUCUGUGCUUGUGGGAUUAAAAAAAAUAUUCUA